UCUUCCCCUCUGGAAUGCGUCCUGGCUUCGGCUGGCCCGGCCCAACCCUCGGCGGCCGCGGUGCCCAGGCCCACUCCUUCCGCGCCUGGAAACGUGAGACGGGUCCCCGAGGACGACGUAGACGAACUUUGCAGAGCACGUUGCCACCUGUCGGAGCGGCCGCUCCAGCCCCGGUCGAAAUGCACGGCUGAACAAUGGCAGCUCUGAGUGGCUCGAGGGCCCACACUUUCUCUCUUUAAAACUGAUGCGCUCGUGGUAAUAGUUCGUAACAUGCCCCACAUCCAGAGGCCUGUGCUCGGCACCUCACCAGUGCCCGGGGCGGUGCGCCCGGCGUGGGCAGCUUCGCCCUUGAGAGCACCAGACCUGGAUCUACCGCGCCCUGGGGCUGAAUGUGAAUUAUUACGUGGGAGUCAUACUGCAUGAAAUAUUUCACAAGAAAAGGGGACAGGACUGGACCGCUGACUGUUCCUUCUUUGAUCUCAGGCAUGAUUUGAGCUUGUAGAAUAAAUGAGAAAUGCCUGUUGGUUUAAUUAAAAGAACCCCAUUGGCUGUGCUAGCCUGCCUGCCUUCUGGUGCCCAAGCAAGUGUAUUGAUAAAGGAAUCAAAAGCUGCACGCUCAAUUGUCCCAGGGUUUUCUCAUCUAUCUUGACAGCUUUUGAGAAUAUGAGUCAAUUUCUCAAAAGCGGUUUAUUGUAAGCCUUGAAAUAUCCAGUUUCCUACCUGGUACCUUAAAUCAUUACUUUCUCUGUAGGGAUAACUGGUGAACUAUCUCCAAAAUACAUCCUUCUUGUCCAUUGACUCAAAUAGCUGAUUGGGAAGAAGCCAGCUGUCUCCUGUGGGACGGUGUCUGGCCUCUGAGGUAGGCCCUGGAGCUACUGCCUGGGGAAUCAAUGUACUACAGCAAUACAGACUCAGUUCUUGGUCCCUUGGCUGAUACCUCCAGCGUAAGACCUCCAGGAAGAACUUCUGCUAGGCCCAAUCACAGAGACUAGUGGGUGUGGUCAGAAAGCCCGGGGCACAGCCUGUUCGGUCAUUCUACAGGCGAGUUACCACCAAGGCUGAGCUUUAGGAGAAGAGCAAGACAAUAUCAAUGGCUGGGGGUUCACACGAAGGCAAGACAUGGACAGCUGCUCCUUCAUCCGUGUUUUUAUCCCCAGAGAACAGCUUUGUGAAAGUGCUCUGUGCUCUCAAGCUGCUGCCAGCAGGGUCUGUCUCAGGCGUGGUUUUUGAGAGGUAAGUGCAGCAAUCAGGAGCCUUAACAGAAGGCUGCUCCAUAGCAUGAGAAGCAUUUGAUUCCGGCUUGGAAACCAGGGGCGGGGCAAAGCCGUUUUACCACCCCCACCGCCAUCUCUCCCCUCUCCCCGUCAGAAAGGCAGAUUUAUCCAAUGGUGCAUCCCUUGCCUUCAUGUCAGAGUGUAAGCUUUGUCAUAUUCCUGACUGUGGUUACUAGAAUUUUUUAUAGAUUUAUUUAUUUUAAGAUAUGUUUAUAGAUACUUUUUGCCUGCACGCAUGUCUCUGUGGGUGCUCCAGAACUGGGUAUGCUCCCAUGUGGGUUGUGGGAAUUGAACCCCAGUCUUCUGAAAGAGCAGCCAGUGUUCUUAAUCGCUGAGCCAUCUCUCCAGCCCCAAUUACUGGAAUUUCAUAUGAAAGCAAAACCACAGCAUAAGUCUUAACAAAUUUGAUUUCCACACUUUUUACCUUUUUCCGUUCACCAGAGAUGAGAUGCAGGUAUAAUCACGUUAAAACAAAAAUGCAAACAAAUCAGAUAAAGAAAAGGAAAUCCAGAUGACGCUCUCACACCUGAAGGAUGUGAGAAGCAGAGUAGAGUGAGACUCUGUAUGCCACCACCAUCCCAAGGGGACAAAGCACCAGGGGCUCUGAGUUGUUCACUUGUUUCUUUACAUGCGUAUGUACAGGCAUGUACUCCUGUGCAUGCAUGGAAGCCAGAAGAGAGCAUCCUGCCUCCUUCUCCAUCACUGUCUUAUUCCUCUGAGCCAGGGUCUGUCUCUCAACCCAAGGCUCUUGGUUUUCUUGGUUAGGCUAGAAGGCAGCAAGUCCCAGCAAUCCCCCAGUCUCCAGCCCCUUAAUUAAUCAGUUCUGAGGGUGUAAAGGGUCUGUGGGAACCAAACUCGAGAUCGUGUAACAAGCGAUCUUAACUGCUGAGUCCUCUUUCCAACUGCUCUGUAUCUUGCCAGCAAGAACAAUCCUAACAUAUACUCUGAGGUCAUGUUGGAACCAUGCAUUUCAAGACAGCAGAGGUUUGGGACAAUCUUUCCAAUCAGGGUGACUAACAACUGUGAGAUCAGGACUUCCUCUUUUUAUCAGCUAUAGUAUCAGAAAAGAAAGGACCCCUGUGAGCGCAGUGUCUGCCUGAAGCUCUUCAUCUUUUACAUUGUUGCAAAAUCUCUCGGGGAAGGUUACACACAGGAUCAUGUGUCCUGUGUAUGAAAUUAUGAUGACUUAUGACUGAUUACAUUCAUCACAAUUAUUGUGAAUAAAAUAUGUUGUGUUUU
Molecule: long non-coding RNA, 2513 nt
Filed under: Mus pahari (shrew mouse)
Lineage: Eukaryota; Metazoa; Chordata; Mammalia; Rodentia; Muridae
Description: lncRNA (MGP_PahariEiJ_G0005150.1)
Source: RNAcentral